This 263-nucleotide ribosomal RNA is filed under the name uncultured Glomus. RNAcentral's name for it is "partial 18S ribosomal RNA". It matches the Rfam family "Eukaryotic small subunit ribosomal RNA", at positions 548 to 817 of the family's 1831-position model. Lineage: Eukaryota; Fungi; Glomeromycota; Glomeromycetes; Glomerales; Glomeraceae. The record is from RNAcentral.
UUGGAGGGCAAGUCUGGUGCCAGCAGCCGCGGUAAUUCCAGCUCCAAUAGCGUAUAUUAAAGUUGUUGCAGUUAAAAAGCUCGUAGUUGAAUUUCGGGAUCAGACUGUCGGUCGUGCCUCGGUACGCACUGGCAUUAUUGGUUCCUACCUUCUGAAGAACCGCGAUGUCAUUAAUUUGGUGUCGUGGGGAAUCAGGACUGUUACUUUGAAAAAAUUAGAGUGUUUAAAGCAGGCUCGCGCUUGAAUACAUUAGCAUGGAAUAA